CAGCCUGAUGGAGCACACCGCGUGAGUGAAGAAGGGUUUCGGCUCGUAAAGCUCUGUUGUUGGAGAAGAACGUGCGUGAGAGUAACUGUUCACGCAGUGACGGUAUCCAACCAGAAAGUCACGGCUAACUACGUGCCAGCAGCCGCGGUAAUACGUAGGUGGCAAGCGUUAUCCGGAUUUAUUGGGCGUAAAGCGAGCGCAGGCGGUUGCUUAGGUCUGAUGUGAAAGCCUUCGGCUUAACCGAAGAAGUGCAUCGGAAACCGGGCGACUUGAGUGCAGAAGAGGACAGUGGAACUCCAUGUGUAGCGGUGGAAUGCGUAGAUAUAUGGAAGAACACCAGUGGCGAAGGCGGCUGUCUGGUCUGCAACUGACGCUGAGGCUCGAAAGCAUGGGUAGCGAACAGGAUUAGAUACC
This 414-nucleotide ribosomal RNA is filed under the name Limosilactobacillus reuteri. Its description in RNAcentral is "bacterial SSU rRNA". It matches the Rfam family "Bacterial small subunit ribosomal RNA", at positions 379 to 786 of the family's 1533-position model. Lineage: Bacteria; Bacillati; Bacillota; Bacilli; Lactobacillales; Lactobacillaceae. The record is from RNAcentral.